Molecule: transfer RNA, 69 nt
Filed under: Ictidomys tridecemlineatus (thirteen-lined ground squirrel)
Lineage: Eukaryota; Metazoa; Chordata; Mammalia; Rodentia; Sciuridae
Description: Spermophilus tridecemlineatus (thirteen-lined ground squirrel) tRNA
Rfam family: tRNA
About the family: Transfer RNA (tRNA) molecules are approximately 80 nucleotides in length. Their secondary structure includes four short double-helical elements and three loops (D, anti-codon, and T loops).
Source: Rfam by way of RNAcentral
GGGGUUGUAGCUCAGUGGUAGAGCACUCACUUAGUAUGUGUGAAGCAUUGGGUUCAAUCCUCAUCACUA